GGCAGGGUUUGAAAAAGAUGAUUAUUAAAUUUGAAGAGAUUAGGGAGUUUUGUGUGCUGCGAGGAACGGGAUGGAAACGGAUUUCAAAUGAAACUGUGGAGGAAGUCGCUCUUGCCGUCAUGGAAUUCCAGUUCCCAAUAUUCUUCGUCAAAUGCUCGAGCGUUGUUAUUUGGCUUGUCUCUUCCUUGAUCGACACUACGAAAUGCUCUGCAAUCCAUUGUAAAGUGCUAUCCAGGUUCUGCAAGACCUGCAUCCUGCUCACCUGGACAAAAGAACUGAAAUUGCUAGUCUUAUUUUGGUUAGAACAGCCUCUAACAAUGCAUGGCUUUGGAAAAUUUUGGGUUCGGACAAGUCGCAUUUUACCUUAAACGGAGCAGUUAACAAGUUAACUCUCAGAACUGUCGCAUAUGGGGUACUGCAAGUCUUAAUUUUGUGCAAGAACGUCGUUGCAUUCUGAUGACAUUACUGUAUGGUGUACUUUUACUGUUGAUUUCAAUCUUGGUCCUUUUUUCUUUAAGGAGAACUCUCCUCAAAGCCCCAAAGGGUGCCUUACUCCUCAAAGCCAUCAAGGGUGCCUUACUGCAAACUUCUUCAGCAGCAAGUCAUUACAAGAACGAUAGUAUUUAGAGGCUUCUGUCUUCGUGUAAGAUGGUGCACCACGCCACAUUGUCGGACCAGUGAAAGCUCUGCGAAGUGCCCACUUUGGAGAAGAUCGGUGAUUUCAAGAGACGUUUUCCGAUUGCCUGGCUUCCUCCUUCUCCAGGCUUGAAGCUCUGUGAUUUCUGGUUGUCGAUAUUCUUAAAAGAUCAUCUCUAUGGAGGAAGUAUACGGACUAUGCCUUAAAUGAAAGCAUGCUGCUGCAACUGAUCCAGAAUCCCUUCGCGCUACGGUUGAACACGCUUUGAACGUGUGAUUGACGCAAAUGGAAUGCACAUUGAACAAAUGCUGUGAUUAAGUGUACACAGAACUCAUAAGUUCUGCUUUGGCCCAUGGAGGUAAGAAUAAAAGGAGGCGCCAAACCCGCAGUACAACUGAAGCAGUGCUUCCAAGGUUUGGUCUUCAGAGGGUGUGUUUUUCGUUUACAUCCACAGCAUCCUUGACAGCGCUUUGAUAAAAUUUCUGCACACGACAGUUCCACACUAAUUGAAAAGCGGGGACACUUCCGUAUAAAAGAAAUAUUCACUGUUGGAUGGAGAAUACAAAUUUGUAUAGUUUAGUGGAGGUUUAUGCAAAAGUCACAUCUUGGUUGUUUCUCGGUAAUUUGCAACAGCGAUUGUGAUUAUGAAUUUGUUUUAUAAGAUUCCAAGCUACUGGACUGCAAAUAAAUAAAUAAAAUAAAAUAAAAUUUAG
Molecule: long non-coding RNA, 1350 nt
Organism: Stegodyphus dumicola
Lineage: Eukaryota; Metazoa; Arthropoda; Arachnida; Araneae; Eresidae
Source: RefSeq, a predicted model, not a curated record